GGCGAUUUAGCUCAGUUGGUUAGAGCGUGUGCUUAACACUAGCAGUCCUCUCCGAGGACCGUAGCGUUGCGCACAAGGUCGGCGGUUCGACCCCGUCAAACGUCA
Molecule: non-coding RNA, 105 nt
Organism: Apiotrichum porosum
Lineage: Eukaryota; Fungi; Basidiomycota; Tremellomycetes; Trichosporonales; Trichosporonaceae
Source: the annotation of a RefSeq genome assembly